RNAcentral lists this ribosomal RNA (468 nucleotides) under uncultured bacterium. RNAcentral's name for it is "partial 16S ribosomal RNA". It matches the Rfam family "Bacterial small subunit ribosomal RNA", at positions 28 to 507 of the family's 1533-position model. The record is from RNAcentral.
GACGAACGCUGGCGGCGUGCUUAACACAUGCAAGUCGAACGGAAAGGCCCUGCUUUUGUGGGGUGCUCGAGUGGCGAACGGGUGAGUAACACGUGAGUAACCUGCCCUUGACUUUGGGAUAACUUCAGGAAACUGGGGCUAAUACCGGAUAGGAGCUCCUGCUGCAUGGUGGGGGUUGGAAAGUUUCGGCGGUUGGGGAUGGACUCGCGGCUUAUCAGCUUGUUGGUGGGGUAGUGGCUUACCAAGGCUUUGACGGGUAGCCGGCCUGAGAGGGUGACCGGCCACAUGGGGACUGAGAUACGGCCCAGACUCCUACGGGAGGCAGCAGGGGGGAAUAUUGCACAAUGGGCGGAAGCCUGAUGCAGCAACGCCGCGUGCGGGAUGACGGCCUUCGGGUUGUAAACCGAUUUCGCCUGUGACGAAGCGUGAGUGACGGUAAUGGGUAAAGAAGCACCGGCUAACUACGUG